Molecule: long non-coding RNA, 2113 nt
Organism: Podarcis muralis (Common wall lizard)
Lineage: Eukaryota; Metazoa; Chordata; Lepidosauria; Squamata; Lacertidae
Source: RefSeq, a predicted model, not a curated record
UCAUUCUCUGCAGAAAACAGAAGGGGAGGGACAGAGCGGAGAAAAGCGUGAGAAAGCAGCCGGGAACUGGAGGAGGUGAGCGGGGAACGGGGACGAUCCGAGAGCGCACGGAACCCAAGGCUUCCCCGCCAUAGCAGCAAAAGGCUACUGGUGAUUUUUAGUAGUAUUAUUUUAAAAAUAAAUAAUAGGAGGCUUCCCAACACAAUUAAGCAAGCCAUCCUUAUCGAUUACCGAAGCGAGCGUCGGAUUUAUCGCAGAGAACGGCAAGCCCUUUUUAAAAUUUAUUUUGGAGAGGAGAAGGAAAACAGUAAGAAAAUCUGAGGUGCAAGACUGAAAUAAAGCAGCUGACUGGAAAAACGCGAUUGCAGGCCGAUGCAAAGUUUCGGUCUGAGUGCUCCAGCAAGGCUUUCUCACCACCCGUACCGCAGAGAGGACUUGCUGCAAGAUCGCGUCCAUCCUGGUCGUAGUGAGAGCCGAAGGGGAAGGAGGAAACCAGGCUUCCCCCAGCGGCCUCUUCCGCGGGGGCUUAUCUGCAGAACAAGGAGGGCCUUAGGAUCCAUUCGCGGUAAACAAAACAAAAAUAAGAGGAUCUCGCGGGAGGCUUCGAUCCGGAGCGCUUGCUUUCCGCAUAGUCAAAACGACUAAGGCGAUUCUUUAGAAGAACAAAACGCUUGCGGGAGCGAGGAGGUUCGGAAUGAAUCGGAGGAUUCAGACGUUGCAAAGGGAACAAAAGGAUGUUGCAAAUUUGCACGGUUCGGUUCCAGUCAGUUACGCCCCCUCCCCCCAAUAUAUAUAGAUAAAUAUAUAUAUAUAUGGGGGGGGCAGAGAAAGAAAUGGAGUGGGGGAAAUGUAAUAAUCCAGUUUUAUACUGUGUUGUCAAAUCUACCGAGUAUCCACGGUUUUGCGCGCGGGACUGGGAAAUCCGGGGGACUGGGAAAUCCGGCGAGUUUUCAAACGCUUCGGCGCACCGAUCUCGGGCCUGGCAGGGAGAAGGGAGAGGACCACCAGCCUCGGCGGUGCUUGCUGUUUCUAUAGCCCAGCGAAGAGGCCUCUCGAGCGGCCGCGAGCAAAAGGAUCUUCCGGUGCCGGGAACCUAGAAAGCUUCCGCUAGGCAUCAUCGGCCAGCGAAGAAAUCGGAGAGAUCGGCCCCAAAAGUGCCUCCACCGACGCCUCCCCGCCACCCCACGGUGCAUUUUAUGCAAUAUUAUACAUUUUUCCAAAUCUUGUUAUUUGCCAAAUCGCAUGUGUGCGUGUUUGAAUCUAGAGAGAGAGAUUUAAAGGAUGCCAGACUGAAAUUGCUGUGCAUGUAGCUUUCCGGCCAGAGCCGCCCCCCCUUUAAAAAUAAAGCUAUCACUAAAGGGAUCCACUAAAGGGAUCCGAGAAGGAAGGACCGAGAGAGGGGCGGACGCGGGGAGAGAUCGGAGAGCGAGAGACAAAGCGCCUCUCCCAGCUGCUCCCUUGCAAGACGUUUGCCUCUCCCGUGCAAAAACGCAACCUGGUUCAACCUUCGAAGCUGAACCAAAAACAAACGAAGAAAGGCCUUUACCUCCAAUCUUAAUGAAACAUUUCCUCACAACACCACGACGGCAUUUUCCUCGCCACUGCAAAACUUAAAAGCCUUACUUCCUACGUAAAACCGACAUACAUGCGCAGAAACACAGACAGGGGCAUAAAUAAAUUAGAAUGCAUCUGUUCCAAGUAUUUUAAUUUUUUUCCCCUUUGCAGUUCGGAAUAGCCGAAUAUGCAUGAAACACUUUCGGUCGCAGACAGCACUUAGCGUCGAGCAGAAAACCCUAACUCUCGCCUGCAUUGUGAUUUAAUUUUUAUUGUGAUUUAAUUUUUAAACAACGGAGGCUACACAUUUGCAUGCAUUCCUUCUCCCUCCCCCCAAAAAUACUACAAUGCCUGCGUUUGUUUGUCUUGCAAAGCCCCAUUCACGUCUCCGUUAGGAGAAAAAAAAACCACCCCCACCCCCCACACAAUUCAACAACUAGAAUUUCAGUAAGAAAUAUGCGAACAAUCGUGGGUUUUGUUAGUACUGCCCGGAGCUCGGUACAACAUUUCUAAGGCACAGCUGAACCACUGAGAAAUAAAAUAAACCUUCAUGCACGUA